This 341-nucleotide unclassified non-coding RNA is filed under the name uncultured Solirubrobacterales bacterium. Its description in RNAcentral is "contains 16S-23S intergenic spacer region". The record is from RNAcentral. Lineage: Bacteria; Bacillati; Actinomycetota; Thermoleophilia; Solirubrobacterales.
UCCGGGUUGGUCCCGGCAGUCGGCUUAGGAAACUAACUAAGCCCGGGGGUUGCGCUCGUUGCGGGACUUAACCCAACACCUUACCUGGGUUUGACAUGUUGGUGUCCCGAAGGAAAAGUGUGUUUCCACACCGGUCACCAACAUGUCAAACCCAGGUAAGGUUCUUCGCGUUGCGUCGAAUUAAACCACAUGCUCCGCUGCUUGUGCGGGCCCCCGUCAAUUCCUUUGAGUUUUAGCCUUGCGGCCGUACUCCCCAGGCGGGGCACUUAAUGCGUUAGCGGCGGCGCGGGGGGAGUCGACACCCCCCACACCUAGUGCCCAUCGUUUACGGCGUGGACUAC